UACUCGAGUGGCGAACGGGUGAGUAACACGUGGGUGAUCUGCCCUGCACUUCGGGAUAAGCCUGGGAAACUGGGUCUAAUACCGGAUAGGAGCCAUUUUUAGUGUGAUGGUUGGAAAGUUUUUUCGGUGUAGGAUGAGCCCGCGGCCUAUCAGCUUGUUGGUGGGGUAAUGGCCUACCAAGGCGGCGACGGGUAGCCGGCCUGAGAGGGUGGACGGCCACAUUGGGACUGAGAUACGGCCCAG
This 243-nucleotide ribosomal RNA is filed under the name uncultured Actinomycetales bacterium. RNAcentral describes it as "partial 16S ribosomal RNA". It matches the Rfam family "Bacterial small subunit ribosomal RNA", at positions 88 to 334 of the family's 1533-position model. The record is from RNAcentral. Lineage: Bacteria; Bacillati; Actinomycetota; Actinomycetes; Actinomycetales.